UUGAUUAUUUUUGGUAGAAGAAAUAUCCCUGAACAAUCUGAACUGUAGUUUCUUCCGCUUCAAAGUCUCCCCUUUCCGCUUCAUUCUUCCGGAUCCAAGAAGCAAAAUCGAAGAAUCCGAGCCAUAUCCCAUGCGAAUGAUCUCCCCGACUCGCUGCCAAUGGAGAAAUCCAGUUUCUCCACGAUUCCAAUGGAGAAUCCGAGCCAUAUUCCCCUCUUUGCGGUC
This 225-nucleotide long non-coding RNA is filed under the name Phoenix dactylifera (date palm). Its description in RNAcentral is "long non-coding RNA (PDAC_LNC001352)". The record is from RNAcentral. Lineage: Eukaryota; Viridiplantae; Streptophyta; Magnoliopsida; Arecales; Arecaceae.